AUGCUCUAUGGGGCACGAUACCCUGGAGAACAAUGGACUUCCUUAGCAGAAAUGAAGCGAAAAUUCAUUAAAAGCAGCCUACCGUUCUCUGCCAAGAGCUGCAUUUCCUGCAUGGUGGUGUUCCUGCACAGUGCAGAUUGCUGCAGGGCGAGAACCACAAUUCUUUGAGACAGCCAUGUUAAAGAAAGUUUGAAAGAAAACAAGAUAUGAUUUUAUGGAAGACUUUUUUUUUUUUUUCAUGAGAAGUAUUUAUUCAUAUUUGCCUGAUGCUCAAUGAAGUUUUAAGACCUUGCCCACAUGGACAUACCUCUUUGAAACUUGGGGUAAAUCCAUAAACUUUAUGCCAUCUCAACCCAAGGCUGCAAGCUAAACUGAACUAUUCUACAUCCUCAAGAGUCUCUCUGAGUUCCUGUAUGAUGUUUGACAGUUGUGUAAAUGGCAACUUCCCAAGAAAGCAAAUUUCUUCCUUGCAAUUUUUACAUAAAAUAUAAGUAGCUCUGUAAGCAGUUGGAUAUUUAAAUACAAAUUUGCCAGAGCUCAAACUUGAGACCACUGUUCUGAGGCCAUCAAUGCAUAUGAAGAAACAACAACAAAAACUGAAUUUCAUAAUUUUUCUCUUAACUAUUACCACUUCUUCAGUAUAAAGAUUAAUUGAAUGGGUAAACUGUAUUCUGAGCUGUGUUUAAGUUUGUUUAGGCUUUAGAAAGUCAUUAACCUUUUCAUUUAGAAAAGUUUAAAUUGACAUAUUUUCAAAUAUACUCUUCCCACAAUCACAAUAGUAUUAAAGCCUUUGGGAUCUGUGCUUCUAAAUGUGCACCAGCACUUUUACCUUGCAGACCCUCUUACAUUUUCCAAUGAUAGGGUUAUUGUAAACAAACAAACAAACAAACAAACAAAAAACAACAACAAAACUUGGUAGCAUCCUAUUAAUUUCAUGCACAAAAUGAACCAUCUACACUUUUUGCAGAUGUUCCUUUUGGGAUCUUACAAUCCAAUGUCCUAGUUUCACUAGUAUUACUUCUCAGCUAAAAAGAAUAUAUUCUGCAGAAUUUGAGCUGGCAUGUGUACCUAAAUAACCAAGAUGUGCCACAAAUUACACAUUAAUCAAAUGAAAGGGAACAAAGGAAACAUUGGAUGACUCUGUAAGUGUUGUAUUUAAUUUGGAUAAAUGCAGUUUUCAUUAAACAACGAAGGUAAAAAUCCUUGUGUAUUUUAUAAGAUUUACUGUUUAAAUAGAGCAAUUGUUUCCUCAUAG
This 1255-nucleotide long non-coding RNA is filed under the name Anas zonorhyncha (Eastern spot-billed duck). RNAcentral's name for it is "lncRNA (ENSAZOG00000009412.1)". The record is from RNAcentral. Lineage: Eukaryota; Metazoa; Chordata; Aves; Anseriformes; Anatidae.